Molecule: long non-coding RNA, 1236 nt
Filed under: Equus asinus (donkey)
Lineage: Eukaryota; Metazoa; Chordata; Mammalia; Perissodactyla; Equidae
Description: lncRNA (ENSEASG00005025932.1)
Source: RNAcentral
CGAGACCGGGGGCCGGAGCUGCGGCGCGGGCGGGGCUCCAGAUCGGACCCCUGCGGCCUGCGCUCUCCUCGGCGCUUGCUCCUCGGCCGCUUCGCCGUCUGAAGCAGAGGCGAAAACCGUGCACGGAAACCUCAGCCCAAGGCCUCAGAUAAAGAGACCUGGAAAUGGAAGAUGGCGCUGUGAGUAGUCCUCUUUGUCUCUCGCCCUUCGAGUCUACAAUUAUUUGGACACUUAUCGCUUGACAAAGGAUAUCCAGACAGCAUCUCAGGACGUCUGAGACACCCACGCGACUAUACAUCGGAAGGCGGAUGGACUUUCCUCCGGGAGGAUGUGGAAAUAGGUGAAAACUCUCCGACCCCGACGGGCAGCCUAGUACCCGCAAGUGGCUUUCUUCCAACGGACGCCCCCAGAGGAUCCACACACAUCUAGGGCAGGAGCGAGAACACAACAGGGGAGCGACGGUGGAAACAGGACUACUUUUGGUCAUUUGUCAAAGCUGACCGGUCACGUCUACAGUCUCCUGCUCUGUACUCACAUCUCAAGCCGCUGUCCUUUCAGCACGGUGCUGGGGAGGCAGGAUUCUGGAACUGGAUUACCCAGAUUCAAGUCUCAGCCUCUGCCAUUGGCUGAGGAGCCUCGGGUAAGUCAUUGAGCUUCUAUGUCCCCCAGUUUCCUCAUCUGUAAAGCAGGGAUAAUAAUAUGUGUUCAUAAGUAUAUGUUUGUUGCUAAUAAUAUAAGUAUGUAAGUAAUAAGUAUAUGUUUGUUAUGAGAAUUGAGUUAAUAUAUGUAAAGAAUUCAGAACAGUGUUUGGCACCUAAAAAGUAUUACAUAAGUGUUGGUUACUGUCUUUUGUGACUGAUAUAUAUAUAUUUUUUAUUGAAAUCAAAUUCACAUAACAUCAAAUUAACCAUUUAAAAAUGUACAGUGAAGUAGCACUUAUUAUGUUCACAAUGUUGUGAACUCAAUCUAGUUCCAAGAUAUUUUGAUCACUCACGAGGGAGACCACAUACCCGUUAAGCAGUCACUUCCCAUUCUUUCCUCCCCCCAGCCCCUGGCACACAUCAAUCUGCUUUUUGUCUCUAUAAAUUUAACUGUUCUGGAUAUUCAUAUAAACAGAAUCACAAUAUAUGACCUUUUAUGUGUGGAUUCUUUCAUUUAGCAUGAUGUUUUCAAAGUUCAUUCACAUUAGAGCAUGUGUUAGUACUAGAUUCCUUUGUAUGGCUGAAUAACAUGUCG